CAAACAGCUUCCUGGCUGGUACCCAUGAUAACAAUUGAGCUGAACCUGGGGACCCCUGGUUGGGGAACAGCUGUGACUGUCACCCUCUCAGGCUUUGUCUCAUCCUUCAUUCUGAAUGAGAUGGCAGUGUUCUCCUCUGGGGCCUGAUCCACCUCUACACCAGCCCAGGAAGCCCCAUCUGUGCCUGCCCUCAGGUGGUCCACCAGUCUCCCCCUUUGGUCCCCUUCCAGUCUCUUCCCCCUUUCUAUCCCAAUCACCAAUAGAAAUGCUAACAUCCCUGCCUGGAAGCCAGACUAGCCCACUAAAGCUCCCCUGUAAAUGGGGGCUCCAUUAGUUCUGCUGCCGAGACUAAUAAAGAUUUGGUUGGCUCUAGCA
Molecule: small RNA, 375 nt
Filed under: Pan troglodytes (chimpanzee)
Lineage: Eukaryota; Metazoa; Chordata; Mammalia; Primates; Hominidae
Description: processed transcript
Source: RNAcentral